This 2798-nucleotide long non-coding RNA is filed under the name Zea mays. RNAcentral's name for it is "long non-coding RNA (ZMAY_LNC001840)". The record is from RNAcentral. Lineage: Eukaryota; Viridiplantae; Streptophyta; Magnoliopsida; Poales; Poaceae.
ACAUAACAGGUAUAUUACAGUAAUCACAUUUGAUACACACACAUUGGAGAUAGAGCGGAAGACUUUUACAAAGUACACUUUACAUUCCAGAACUCAAGUUUUACAUGGUAGAAAGAGAUGUAUUUAUUACAAGUCCUGAUAGUACUCGAAGUGCAUAACUUAUUACAAUAAUUGGAAGGGUGAAGCCUUUCCAUAAAAGAUAUAUAAAAACCUUCUAAGCUUCAAGUCCUCCACAUGAAGUAACUAACCUAAAGAUAAGGGAAUAAAACUUUUCCUACAAAAACAAUAAGGGAUAAAACCCUGAGUACGCAAUUACUCAGCGAGACUUACCCGACUAAAGAAAAGACUCUCAAGGGUAUGCUGGCUUUUGGGAAUCAAGGUAAAGCUCAUCAAAGUUCAAGGACUCAUUUUGCAGAAAAGCUUACUAGAAGUGGGUCCUUAAGCCAAGUUUUAUUUCACAAGUUAGUUUAUUACCUGAAUCUUCUAGCCUGAAUCUAGCAUUUUCCUAAUCUAGAUCAUUCACUUGACCUACACUAGAUUGCUUUUAAAAUCCAAAUUUUGUUUCGCUUGUUAUCUACGAUGAAGGGCAGCGAUCCAGUCUUCAUAUCCGAGAAGUAACGGCGAUCCGAAUCGAUUAAUACCCAGCUGGGGAUCUCCAACCACACGACAUAUGUAGCACUUAACCCUUGCAUAUGUCAACCAUUCCCACGGAUCCUCCACUACAUGAACCGGUCCGCGCUACCUGGGAGCACAUUACCCUACCAUUCAGCUUCUUGCCAGGAGGGUAACUGCUACUCCCACCAUCUCCCACGCCCAGUGCGCGGUUGUCUUUUCACGUAGGGAAUAGCCGGGUUCAGGCUUGCCCAUGAUGAGGUAUGUGGCCAGUUAAAAGGUCCUAGAUCAUCAGGCCAACAAUCGGUACGGUCCUUAAUCGACACAGACGGGCGACCUUUCCUGCUCAACGUCUGGUCCCAUUUUAAACUAUUUCAAAAAUUUGGUGCCUGACAGAGGGGCCAUGCCUGGAUAAUGAAUUUAUCAACGUCUUGAUGCCUCCAUUAUCCCAAGCCCAUUUUCUUUUUUGUAAAAACAUGAGUCAUAGAUCAAAAACAUUUUUCUUAGUCUAUUCGCAUGACUAAGCAUCUCUAGCUUUUAUAAAACAGGUGGCAAGGUAUGGUAAUCAAGCUUUCAAGGAUGGUAAUGCAUCAAGAGUUUAACCAAUCAACUCCUAUCACCUAAUGUAGCAUAUAAGUGAUAAAAUUUUGUAAACACAAGGAUGGUGGCAAAUGCACCGGGGCUUGCCUUGUUGCAGGAGAAGAUCCCAAAAUCCUUCUACCCAACCUUUAGUUAGAUAGAUCCAUCCACUUGAUAAGCAGGCAUUGGAGUAGACUCCUUCAAACACCACUUCUUCUAGGUGUUCUACAAGUCAAUUACAAAUACAUGUAUGCUUAUGUUAUGAUAUGAAAUGCAAACUCUCACAAAGGAGAGGUGGGGAACAUAAACAUCUCUAACUAAGCACAUGACAAGCUUACCUAUACUUAUACUUUACUUAACAUUUGAUCUGAAGGCUUAAACUUAAUUUAGUUGGACAAACCAGAGAACUAAACAUACUAAGGCUCACUAAAUUUGCUACCUAACACUUUAUAGGGUCUAACUCCGUUACAACAUAUAUUAACACUACUUGUGUGGUUUUUUUAUAUUUCUUCUUUUAGCUAUUUCAAGGAUCUCUAGGCAAACCAGCUCCAAAUACAUUAAAACUUUUACCCAGCACUAUUUUAGACAUAAUAAACCUAUUUACAAAGUUUCAGCAUUUUUGGAGCUAUAUUUUUUUAUUCCUAUAACUAAAAUAAGCGUUAGUAAGUUAACUUUAAUUAAGGCCUAAACAUAAAAGUUGUUGUUCAAGCCUAAUGAAUAUUUUUAUCAGAUAGUACUCAUCUUGGUGAACUCAACAAAUUUGGUUUACAUAUUUAGCAUUUUUCUGUAAUUUUCUAUGUCAUUUUCUAGGUCUCAGCUAUAAUCUGAAAUUGGAAAAUAAAAUACAAAACCUCCGGCCAACUCCCACCUGGCACACAAGCGAAGACGGCAGGGAGGCGACAACACGUGCGCCUAUGCAGCAGAGCGACGAUGUGAUGCCUCGAAUCCAUGACGAGGUCAUGGCAGCACUUGGAGUCGGGGUUGGUGCGAGGAGCGUGACCAGCUGGAGCCGAGCGUGAUGGAGAGACCGGAGCAGGAGGGCGAGCGCCACGGCCAGGUCGCUGGUGAACUGGCCGAGCUCGGCCUAGGAUGCAAUGGCCCGAGGCCAAGGCGAGACUGACCGGUGCUGGGGAAUCCAAUCAGGAAGAAAACACGUGCCAGAAUGCGUCGUCGACGUGUGCCUGGGAGCCGGUGCAGAGCGCGAGCGCGUGGGGGAUCGAUGUUGGGGAAUGAGGCGAGCAGAGAGGAGACAUGGGGAGGAUUCUAGAGACAACGAGUGUGUUGAGACUUGAGAGGGCCCUGGGCGUCCGCGUGAGGGAGCCUGGCUGGGUAGAAUAAGGAGCCCGACGUGUGAGAGCAUUCCAUAGAAACAUAUGUGCUUAUCACAAUGGAAUGGACUCGAUGGUGCCAGCUCAAAGUGAAUACGGAUACGUGGCCACAACGGAAUGACGCACAGAUAGACUGGCUUCUGUUAAGCGGCAAAACCCAGGACUAGUAGCGUCCACACAGGAGGCAAAUAGGUGGACAGCAGCAUGCGUGCCCAACCAUCGAUCAGAGAAUUGAAACUAAGUUCCCAGCCGGCAUGACAACCCAAUUUCAAACGAACU